RNAcentral lists this unclassified non-coding RNA (198 nucleotides) under uncultured Lactifluus. RNAcentral's name for it is "sequence contains ITS1". Lineage: Eukaryota; Fungi; Basidiomycota; Agaricomycetes; Russulales; Russulaceae. The record is from RNAcentral.
UCGUACAACAGGAGGUGCCGAGGUUGUCGCUGACCCCUCUAAAGGGGUCGUGCACGCCUCGAGCAUUCUUACUCCUCAUCCACCUCACCCCUUGUGCAUCCCCGCGUGGGCUUUUUCUCUUUCGAGAGAAAGAGCCGGCGUCUUUAUACAAACACAAAUCGGUGUAGAAUGUUCUUUUGCAUUUAUAUGCAGUUAAUA